Molecule: ribosomal RNA, 477 nt
Filed under: uncultured bacterium
Lineage: Bacteria
Description: partial 16S ribosomal RNA
Rfam family: Bacterial small subunit ribosomal RNA
Source: RNAcentral
GAUGAACGCUGGCGGCGUGCCUAAUACAUGCAAGUCGAGCGAACAGACGAGGAGUUUGCUCCUCUGACGUUAGCGGCGGACGGGUGAGUCACACGUGGAUACCCUACCUAUAAGACUGGGAUAACUUCGGGAAACCGGAGCUAAUACCGUAGAAUCUAUUGCACCGCAUGGUUCAAUAGUGAAAGACGGUUUUGCCGUCGGUUGUAGAUGGUUGCGCGCCGCAUCAGCUUGUUGGUAAGGUAACGGCUUACCAAGGCAUCGACGGGUAGCCGGCCUGAGAGGGUGACCGGCCACAUUGGGACUGAGAUACGGCCCAGACUCCUACGGGAGGCAGCAGUGGGGAAUAUUGCACAAUGGGCGGAAGCCUGAUGCAGAAACGCCGCGUGCGGGAUGACGGCCUUCGGGUUGUAAACCGCUUUCGCCUGUGACGAAGCGUGAGUGACGGUAAUGGGUAAAGAAGCACCGGCUAACUACGUG